This is a small nucleolar RNA of Marmota marmota marmota (Alpine marmot), 215 nucleotides long. The record is from Ensembl. Lineage: Eukaryota; Metazoa; Chordata; Mammalia; Rodentia; Sciuridae.
AAGACUAUACUUUCAGGGGUCAUUUCUACAGUAUGUUACUAGAGAAGUUUCUCCGAUUGUGUCAAGUACCAGAAACCACGAGGAGGAGUUUAGUGUUCUCUCCUGAGCAUGAAGUUGGUCCUAGAUGUUGCAUUACUGCAACUGCCUUUUGCCAUUGAUGAUCAUUCUUAAUUCUCUUUAGAGAUUAAGAGGGAGAGAAUACAAUCUGAGUGGUC